GAGGGUAUAGCUCAAAUGGUAGAGCACAUGCUUAGCAUGCACAAGGGCCUGGGUUCAGUUGCCAGUACUCCCU
RNAcentral lists this transfer RNA (73 nucleotides) under Camelus bactrianus (Bactrian camel). It matches the Rfam family "tRNA". From Rfam's summary of the family: Transfer RNA (tRNA) molecules are approximately 80 nucleotides in length. Their secondary structure includes four short double-helical elements and three loops (D, anti-codon, and T loops). RNAcentral also lists the same sequence under 1 other name. Lineage: Eukaryota; Metazoa; Chordata; Mammalia; Artiodactyla; Camelidae. The record is from Rfam by way of RNAcentral.